GUAAGACCACAAUCAUUACAUGUGGCUCCUUUUCACACAGCAGGAACGGAAUAUAUGCUUGUUUACAGCAACGGUACCAGAAAGUCAUCACGUUGGCACUCUUGUCGGCAGCUUAAAAUCAAAAGAAAGUUUAGCAUGAAUUACCUGAAUCCUCUUUUAAAGCUACACAAUGUCCUGAGAGGAUUCUUUAUGAGAAAAAUGUCCAUCACAGCUUUAAGACCUUGCUUUGGAAGGAACUAAUGAGAAAGCAGAUGGAAAGCUUUCAGGUAAAGUCCAGCACUUCAUUUAUACAAAGUCUAUGAGAAUACGUCAGUAGAGAUCAUCUAAUCUUAAGUCGUGACAUCAUCCAUUCAAGUCCUUGGCAUAAUCUAUAAAGAAAAUAAAAUAUCUUGAUUAACUAAGAUAUUUUAGUUAUGAACUAAAAAGCUAUGAACAGCAAACUAAAAGAAGAUAUCAUUUUUCAUCUACCUAAACAACAAAGAUUAAAAAAUCAGUAAUAUUCAAUGUUGGUGCUAUUGUGGUGAAGCCAUACUUUCACAGAGUGCAUCUAUAUUUUUGGUUCUGUUAUGUCUCUAGUGCCUAGAAUACUGCCUGACACAUACAAGGAGCUCAAUAAUUACACAGUGAAUGCCCACAGAAAGUAAUUUAGCAAGAAGUAUCAAAAAUGUUUAAAAUAUCAAUACUCUACCCCUUUUUCUACUUUCAGAAAUGUAUCCUAAAAAAUAAUCAGAGAUAAA
Long non-coding RNA from Balaenoptera ricei (Rice's whale), 737 nucleotides. RefSeq lists it as uncharacterized. The record is from RefSeq and is a predicted model, not a curated record. The transcript is spliced from 3 exons. Lineage: Eukaryota; Metazoa; Chordata; Mammalia; Artiodactyla; Balaenopteridae.